RNAcentral lists this ribosomal RNA (468 nucleotides) under uncultured bacterium. RNAcentral's name for it is "partial 16S ribosomal RNA". It matches the Rfam family "Bacterial small subunit ribosomal RNA", at positions 28 to 507 of the family's 1533-position model. The record is from RNAcentral.
GACGAACGCUGGCGGCGUGCUUAACACAUGCAAGUCGAACGGAAAGGCCCUGCUUUUGUGGGGUGCUCGAGUGGCGAACGGGUGAGUAACACGUGAGUAACCUGCCCUUGACUUUGGGAUAACUUCAGGAAACUGGGGCUAAUACCGGAUAGGAGCUCCUGCUGCAUGGUGGGGGUUGGAAAGUUUCGGCGGUUGGGGAUGGACUCGCGGCUUAUCAGCUUGUUGGUGGGGUAGUGGUUUACCAAGGCUUUGACGAGUAGCCGGCCUGAGAGGGUGACCGGCCACAUUGGGACUGAGAUACGGCCCAGACUCCUACGGGAGGCAGCAGUGGGGAAUAUUGCACAAUGGGCGGAAGCCUGAUGCAGCAACGCCGCGUGCGGGAUGACGGCCUUCGGGUUGUAAACCGCUUUCGCCUGUGACGAAGCGUGAGUGACGGUAAUGGGUAAAGAAGCACCGGCUAACUACGUG